This 440-nucleotide ribosomal RNA is filed under the name uncultured bacterium. RNAcentral's name for it is "partial 16S ribosomal RNA". It matches the Rfam family "Bacterial small subunit ribosomal RNA", at positions 338 to 795 of the family's 1533-position model. The record is from RNAcentral.
CCUACGGGAGGCAGCAGUGGGGAAUAUUGCACAAUGGGGGCAACCCUGAUGCAGCGACGCCGCGUGAGGGAAGAAGGCAUUCGUGUUGUAAAGCUCUAUUAGCAGGGAAGAAAAUGACGGUAUCUGAGUUAAAAGCCCCAGCUAACUAUGUGCCCGCAGCCGCGGUAAUACGUAGGGGGCAAGCGUUAUCCGGAUUUACUGGGUGUAAAGGGAGCGUAGACGGCAGUGCAAGUCUGGAGUGAAAGGCGGGGGCUCAACCCCCGGACUGCUCUGGAAACUGUACGGCUGGAGUGCAGGAGAGGUAAGUGGAAUUCCUAGUGUAGCGGUGAAAUGCGUAGAUAUUAGGAGGAACACCAGUGGCGAAGGCGGAUUACUGGACUGUAACUGACGUUGAGGCGCGAAAGCGUGGGGAGCAAACAGGAUUAGAUACCCUUGUAGUC